Molecule: non-coding RNA, 150 nt
Organism: Cercophora samala
Lineage: Eukaryota; Fungi; Ascomycota; Sordariomycetes; Sordariales; Lasiosphaeriaceae
Source: the annotation of a GenBank genome assembly
GGGCGUAUGGUCGAGUGGUCAAAGACGUCCCAAAUGCAUACCACCCUACAAUAGUCGGCUGGGUCUGGCCACCAGCCUUACUCGGAUCGUCGGGUUUGGGUCGGUUGUAAGAAAUGAGAAGAGUCCCAAGUUCGAAUCCUGGAGUGCCUA